CCUGCAUGAUUGUGCCGUGAGAGUCUGACUCAUGCAGCAAGGACCUCGCUUUUCCGCAGCCACAGAAAAACAAGCUGAUUGGUUCUGCUUUAUGAUUCCAUUAUUGAGCUCCCAAGAAAUUGAAUGUCAUUUCUACGUUAGCUAAUGGUUGUGUCGUUUUUUUUUAUGGGAGUAGACUUGGUAGUGAUAGGGCCAGAUUU
Molecule: long non-coding RNA, 200 nt
Organism: Arabidopsis thaliana (thale cress)
Lineage: Eukaryota; Viridiplantae; Streptophyta; Magnoliopsida; Brassicales; Brassicaceae
Product: other RNA
Exons: 1
Source: RefSeq